This 253-nucleotide ribosomal RNA is filed under the name uncultured bacterium. RNAcentral describes it as "partial 16S ribosomal RNA". It matches the Rfam family "Bacterial small subunit ribosomal RNA", at positions 524 to 776 of the family's 1533-position model. The record is from RNAcentral.
UACGAAGGGGGCUAGCGUUGUUCGGAAUUACUGGGCGUAAAGCGCACGUAGGCGGAUAUUUAAGUCAGGGGUGAAAUCCCAGAGCUCAACUCUGGAACUGCCUUUGAUACUGGGUAUCUUGAGUAUGGAAGAGGUAAGUGGAAUUCCGAGUGUAGAGGUGAAAUUCGUAGAUAUUCGGAGGAACACCAGUGGCGAAGGCGGCUUACUGGUCCAUUACUGACGCUGAGGUGCGAAAGCGUGGGGGGCAAACAGG